AUUGAACGCUGGCGGCAUGCCUUACGCAUGCAAGUCGAACGGCAGCACGGGAGCAAUCCUGGUGGCGAGUGGCGAACGGGUGAGUAAUAUAUCGGAACGUGCCCGGUCGUGGGGAUAACGUAGCGAAAGCUACGCUAAUACCGCAUACGAUCUACGGAUGAAAGCGGGGGAUCGCAAGACCUCGCGCGAUUGGAGCGGCCGAUAUCAGAUUAGGUAGUUGGUGAGGUAAAGGCUCACCAAGCCGACGAUCUGUAGCUGGUCUGAGAGGACGACCAGCCACACUGGGACUGAGACACGGCCCAGACUCCUACGGGAGGCAGCAGUGGGGAAUUUUGGACAAUGGGCGCAAGCCUGAUCCAGCAAUGCCGCGUGCAGGAUGAAGGCCUUCGGGUUGGUUAAACUGCUUUGUUACGGAACGAAACGGUAGGAGCGUCUAAUACAG
This 442-nucleotide ribosomal RNA is filed under the name uncultured bacterium. RNAcentral describes it as "bacterial SSU rRNA". It matches the Rfam family "Bacterial small subunit ribosomal RNA", at positions 30 to 469 of the family's 1533-position model. The record is from RNAcentral.